UCGGGAAUUUUGGGCAAUGGGCGAAAGCCUGACCCAGCAACGCCGCGUGAAGGAUGAAGUAUUUCGGUAUGUAAACUUCGUAAGAAUAGGAAGAAUAAAUGACGGUACUAUUUGUAAGGUCCGGCUAACUACGUGCCAGCAGCCGCGGUAAUACGUAGGGACCAAGCGUUGUUCGGAUUUACUGGGCGUAAAGGGCGCGUAGGCGGUUUGUCAAGUCAGUUGUGAAAUCUCCGAGCUUAACUCGGAACGGUCAACUGAUACUGUCAAACUAGAGUACAGAAGGGGCAAUCGGAAUUCUUGGUGUAGCGGUGAAAUGCGUAGAUAUCAAGAGGAACACCUGAGGUGAAGACGGGUUGCUGGGCUGACACUGACGCUGAGGCGCGAAAGCCAGGGGAGCAAACGGGAUUAGAUACCCCCGUAGUCCCUGAGCGGGCUGGCAAGGCGCAU
RNAcentral lists this ribosomal RNA (447 nucleotides) under uncultured bacterium. RNAcentral describes it as "bacterial SSU rRNA". It matches the Rfam family "Bacterial small subunit ribosomal RNA", at positions 355 to 825 of the family's 1533-position model. The record is from RNAcentral.